UGAUUCUGCCUUUUCUGUAACCUUUUGUUGAUUGUUCAUUUUACGGGUUGUUGUUGCAGCUGCAUCUUCCUCUUUCUUCCUUUGAAUUUCUAGGUCCCUCAUUUUAACAGUACAUGAUUGCUUUAUAUGCCCCAGAUGUCUGCAAUCGGUGCAAUAGGAUGUAAGGUUGUCAUAUUUCAAGCCACUCCCCAUCUCCAUUGACAUCCUAAUUUUCAUCAUACCCCAACCAAACAUGGGUUGGUCUUUCUUUGGUGAGAUCAAGCUGCAUUUUUACUUUGACCACACUCCCUCUAAUUUUCUGGAAGAAUGCCAAGUCUAGGAAAAGAGCUUUUCCAACUGGGGAUAGGUGAGGGGAUAAGAUCUCCAUGUUGUACAGGUGCCAGGGUAGUUCAGGAAUCAUGAUCCAUACUGGAACUAUUGGAGAGUCUUCAUUUGGUUUGAAAAUGGGGUUCCAUGCCUCAAUCAUCAUCAUCUGGCCUUGGAUAUACAUAGACUACUUGGACCAUACAGUAGAGUGAUCAUACUCAUUGUCUAAAUCAAUAUACACAGUUUUGGCAUUGAAAUGGAAAAUUUUGACACCACCUCUAAGUUCAGUUUGGAUUAUGAAACUUUUCCUGAUAACUUCCAUCCUAAGCAUGGUGUUUGAAAACUUGGCCACUACUGUGUACUUACACCUAUCAGCAAACAUUAUCAUGUAGUCAUCUCUUUUAAAGAUAACUGCUGGUUUUC
This 729-nucleotide long non-coding RNA is filed under the name Nicotiana benthamiana. RNAcentral's name for it is "long non-coding RNA (NBEN_LNC019737)". Lineage: Eukaryota; Viridiplantae; Streptophyta; Magnoliopsida; Solanales; Solanaceae. The record is from RNAcentral.